CCUACGGGUGGCUGCAGUUAAGAAUCUUGCGCAAUGGGCGAAAGCCUGACGCAGCGACACCGCGUGGACGAUGAAGGCCUUCGGGUUGUAAAGUCCGAUAAGCAGGGAAGAAUAAGUUCCGACUAACAUUCGGAGCGAUGACGGUACCUGUCUAAAGCCCCGGCUAACUACGUGCCAGCAGCCGCGGUAAUACGUAUGGGGCAAGCGUUGUUCGGAAUUAUUGGGCAUGAAGGGGGUUUAGGCGGGGUAUGAAAGCCACGGGCUCAACUCGUGAAUUGCACUUAAAACUGGUUCUCUUGAGUUCGGGAGAGGAGAGCGGAAUUCCAGGUGUAGCGGUGAAAUGCGUAGAUAUCUGGAAGAACACCAGUGGCGAAGGCGGCUCUCUGGCCUAGAACUGACGCUGAAGCGCGAAAGCGUGGGGAGCGAACGGGAUUAGAUACCCCUGUAGUC
This 450-nucleotide ribosomal RNA is filed under the name uncultured bacterium. RNAcentral describes it as "partial 16S ribosomal RNA". It matches the Rfam family "Bacterial small subunit ribosomal RNA", at positions 338 to 795 of the family's 1533-position model. The record is from RNAcentral.